UCUAAGGAGGUUGCCCACACAAGGGGGUCUCUCUCUGAGGGGGAUGUGGUCAGGCAAGGCCUCUCAGCAGAGCAGGUGUCUUCACAAGUGAGAAGCAGCCAGGCAGGGGAGGAAGGAAGAACCAGACAGAGGAGCUGACAGGGCAGUUUUGAAAACAAGCAGUACUUUCCUCUGGCUGGAUAGGGAGGAAGUGAGAACUGAGGCUGGAGAGGAGAGCAGGAUGGCAGCUGAGGUGGUGUCCACACCUGGGUCAUUUCUGGGCAGCAAGGACCAAGAACUCUAGGCUGGGGCUCUACAGAGCAAGGCAAGACUAUGGCUUCCUCCUGGCCUCUUCGCACCCACUCCCACCCCUCCCCCAGCUUGUUACUGUAGCCAGCAGAGUUCCUUCUAACCAUCCUAUAAGCAUUGCCCUGGAGAGGUGGGUGCAGAUAGCCCAAAGCUCCAAUGCCCUGUGGGAAGUGAUGUGAUAGUCAUGACCUUGACCUUGGAGGUUCUAUGGAAGCCUUUCUCAGAGGAAAAGGCCCUAGCCAGGGCAGGGGCCAGGGAAGGAUUCCCAGAAGAGCCCAGAGCAGACAGGGUGGACCUGAGCCCAGCAGGGUUUUCUGGGAGGAUGGAGGGAGACACAGAGGAAGUGGAGUGUCCCAGACAAUACUUGAAUAGUGCAUGUGACCUUUCCUCUUGGCCUGUGGUCACCAAGCACCUGCUGUGUGCCAGGCAGAACAGGCCCCUGCUAUUUCAGAGCUUCUACAACAAAUGAGACCUUGUCUGAGGGUGAGGAGAGUCACAUGGCUGGGGAGGAGGCUUUAGCUGUUAGGGGCGCCUUUCAGAGCAUCUGCCCUCUGAGCUUGGGACCAAGGACAAGAGGACAGCAGCCCCAGCUCCAGGAGAGGGGAGGGAGAUGUUCUAAGCUGAAGAUGGGUAGAAGGGACCCUGCUGGCUGUAGGGGUGGGCUGGAGAGUGGGGGAGUGGGUACAGGGAGGCCAGGAAGGUGGGUAGUGGCCAGCGCCCAGUGGAGGGAGCUGGAUGUAUCCUGGAGGAGAAUGACAGGACCGGUGAGUGGACUGGGGAGAGGGAAGGGAAGUGCCCUGGAUGCCUGGCCAGGGAGUCUCUGGGGCCUGAGAUGCUGGCACUGCCAACCGAGAGACUGGCUGGUCUCUGCCACUGACUAUCAGCAGGCCUGACUGGAGUGCAGCUGCUUCUCUGAGGAAGAACGGUAAUCUGGGAUGCGGGUGCCAGCAUCUCCCCUGCCAGGACCACUGGAUCUGACCUGCCCCCUCAAGUGCCAGCUCGCCCAUGUCUGCAGCCAGCUUCCGCACGCUCACAGCCUCUGAGUCACCCUGGAUGUCAGGGACGGCAUUCCGACGGCCCGUCCGGUCACAGGAGAUGAAGUCCGAGUAGGAGGACUCGACCUCCAUCAUGCUUGUUGCAUCGCUCCUCAGGCCUGUGGGGACACGGGGCAGGAGGGCAGAGGUGAGGCAGAAUGACAGCUACUGCCUUUUUCACUGCAGACAGAGCAGAAAGCACAGAAAAUACAAAGAACAAAAUCAGCCACCUGUAACCCCCGACACAGCCAACCACCACCACCAUCUCAAAGAACACAGCCUUUAUUCUAAGGAAACAUUGACACACUUAUCAGUAUCAUGUGCCAGGCACUGGCUAGGUGCUAUAGAUGUAGCAGCAAACAAGUAGGCCAUGGUCCCUGCUCUCACAGGACUUACGAUCUACCAGAGGCGGCAUCCAACUACCCAGCACCUACAUCAGAACCACAGUGCACAGCCCUGUGAGGGAGAAUGCAGGGUGCUGAAGUGACUGGCAGGACCUGACCAAGGCUGGAGUUGGCAAAGCGACAUGAACAGACAUUUAGAUGAAGAGUGAGAGGAAGAGCAUCACAGAGAAGGAACAUCUUCUCUGUGAUGCACCUGUGAAGACUCUGAGGAGGGAGGGUAUGGUAGGCUGAAAAGCAAAAGAGCCAGCAGCCUGGAGAAUGGUGGGGCAGGGACACUGAGGACAGUGCUGAGGUGGGCAGGGGUCAGACCACAUCUGAAACUUGGACUCUGAGGGGUGUCAGGCCAGGUUAUGAAUGAUUAGCUGUGCGUUUCAAAGAUGACUCAGGGUUCUAGCUGGAGCUGGGCCUGGAAGGAAGGAAGUCGGGAGACUUCCGCUCCGGUACAAGAAGACAGUGGUGGAGCAAGGCGGUGGCGAGGCCGACUUGAGAUGUAAUUUGGAGGACAAAUCCAUAAUAGUUAUUGUUUGAUGGGGAACUUAGGUUGCACUUGAAUAAACAGGUGGACAGCGGUGUGGCUUCCUCAACAGGGAAUGCCAGCAGAGUAUCUGGGGAGUGAAGGCGAGUUCUGGGGGUGAAGUUAAGAGUUCUAGUUAGUGACGCCAACCUUGUAUGGCCUGUGAGCCCUCCCAGAGGACACAGGGAGUAGAUACAGGGACCAAAGGGGCUGGCGCUCAGAAGAAAGAUGGGGUAUAAAGGGAGGAAAGAGAUGAAAGAAGAAAUCAUUACUAUUGAGAUGGGGACUAACAGCCCUCAUUGUUGAGGAACAGCCUAGGAGUGAGAAGAAGACAGCCACAGCUGUAAAGAAGAGCCAUAUACGUUAAGAAGCAUAUGGCCCUGGGCUUGAAACACACCCCAAAAAAAAUUAUCUGGGGAUCAUACUACACAUUGUGUUUUAUAGCCUAUUCUUUGGAACAAAGACCUGACUCUCUCUCUGAGCCUCUAGUUCCCCAUCUAUAAAACAAAAGCAGGGCCAAAAUUCUGUGUAAGGCGAUUUCCCCUUCUAUCCAGAAGAUGGCGCACCUUGCAUAUCUUUCUUUGCUGCCUGAGGGGUGGGGGUUCAGGCUCCUCCUCAGCUAAAGGAAUUCCCAGAGGCAGUUCCUUCUGUAGGUCACAGUUUCACUUCAACCCUCUCCCUAGGGAGAAAAUGCUCAAGUCUUCAUAUUAGGAGAAUGGGCUGCUGUAAUAAUGGUAACAAUAGCAUAACCACCAGUCCAAAUUAUGAGGACAAUGCUAAUAAUAGCAAAGGUAGUGUGACCAGGAAUUUAUGCUUUGUAUACUUCACUUAAUGGCUGGCACAGAGUCUGAGCUAAGUUUACAAGCCUGAAUGGGAAGGGCCUCAGCAGACCCUCUGGGUCCUAGGCCUAGGCUCUGCUCCCCUUGUACCUGCUGCUCAUGAGAAGGGUCUGACCCUGUCAAGCCACUCUGUCCCCUGAAGCCCUGGUUUCUUCAGCUCUUGUUCUCUGGUUAAAGUCAGCUCCAUGAAAACAGGAAGCUUCUCACCAUGCAAACAGACAGGACCAAUCCCAGCAGCUGUGAUCUGGCUGCUCCAUCCCUGGACACUCCUAGCAGCACCUGGGGGAGAGCAGCUGCUCUGUAACCGCUCCCAGGAUCACAUUUCAUCUGUCUAUCCAUCCAGGCAUCCAUCCAGCCCCUCUGCCACCACCUCUCUAGGGAUGAUGGACUGUCUCCACUCAGGACCUGGGAAAGGUCUGCAUCCUGCAGAGUGCUGCUCUUCUUGUCUGGUAUCUCCAGGAGAAUACCUUGGGAUGGAGUUACAAGCUCAUCUAAAAGGCUAGCCUCACUCCGAGACAGACACCCUGGGGCUUUGCCCCGCCUAACCCUACAAGCUUCCCAGGACAGAAAGCUGCCCAUCCUGGCACAGAGAGGGCACUCUGACAAGCUCAAAGCCCAGUCCUGGAACACACCCACCAAGCCAUCUGGAGCUCACUCAGCUGCCCCCUCCCCAUCCCUGCAGGGCCCUGGGAGCCCUCUGUUCCAAAGCACCAGUGUAUUAGAUUCUCAUUUCUCUUACACAUUUGUGCUCAUAUGUGCUCAUAUUCUGCUCUUUAAAGUUAAAAGCAAAUGGGAAAAUAAAAGAAAGAAUCCUCAGAGUGGAAUAUUGUGCCA
This is a non-coding RNA of Ictidomys tridecemlineatus (thirteen-lined ground squirrel), 3913 nucleotides long. Lineage: Eukaryota; Metazoa; Chordata; Mammalia; Rodentia; Sciuridae. The record is from RefSeq and is a predicted model, not a curated record.